GUUUGGGUGCAGACGUCGUUGCUUGGGCGCUUCUCCGCUGCGUGUAGGUGAAGGGGGCUUCCUGACCGAGACAUGGAUUUAGGUGCUAUUACAAAAUACUCAGCAUUACAUGCCAAGCCCAAUGGACUGAUCCUGCAAUACGGGACUGCUGGAUUUCGAACGAAGGCAGAACAUCUUGAUCAUGUCAUGUUUCGCAUGGGAUUAUUAGCUGUCCUGAGGUCAAAACAGACAAAAUCCACUAUAGGAGUCAUGGUAACAGCGUCCCACAAUCCUGAGGUAAUGGGUUUAGUGCCCUGAUAAAGCAGACCAUUAUUUACAAGACCAAGCCUUAGUGUCUGAGCAGUUUGACCUAAAGUACAAAUUCUAAUUCUAGGAAUGUGCCUUCUCAUUUAUACGUGCUUUGGAUGUGAAACAACUUUUUUUUUUAAGAGCAUGAUCAUUAAGCUCAUGAUUCCUAAGGGUGUGGAAAGAAUGAAAAGAUACUGUCAUUUUUUGGAGUGUCCAUAUUAGAGAAAUAACAAUGUCCUUCCAAAUUUAUUGAUUUAAGACAUUUUCAGUAAUUGAAAAUUGUUUC
This 574-nucleotide small RNA is filed under the name Pan troglodytes (chimpanzee). Its description in RNAcentral is "retained intron". The record is from RNAcentral. Lineage: Eukaryota; Metazoa; Chordata; Mammalia; Primates; Hominidae.